This 188-nucleotide unclassified non-coding RNA is filed under the name soil metagenome. Its description in RNAcentral is "partial contains 5.8S ribosomal RNA, internal transcribed spacer 2, and large subunit ribosomal RNA". The record is from RNAcentral.
AACGCACGAGACCUGCGGACCUGCGGAGGGAUCAUUCAUAAUAAAAGUGUUUAUGGCACUUUUAAAACAAUCCAUAUCCACCUUGUGUGCAAUGUUUUUCUUAUUAACACUUUAUUUUAUAUCUUUUGUCUGAAAUAUUUUAUGAAUUUUACUUAAUUCGAAAAUAUAACUUUUAACAACGGAUCUCU